This 253-nucleotide ribosomal RNA is filed under the name uncultured bacterium. RNAcentral's name for it is "partial 16S ribosomal RNA". It matches the Rfam family "Bacterial small subunit ribosomal RNA", at positions 524 to 776 of the family's 1533-position model. The record is from RNAcentral.
UACGUAGGGUGCGAGCGUUAAUCGGAAUUACUGGGCGUAAAGCGUGCGCAGGCGGUUCGUUGUGUCCUAUGUGAAAGCCCCGGGCUUAACCUGGGAAUGGCAUUGGAAACUGGCGGGCUUGAGUGCGGCAGAGGGGGGUGGAAUUCCGCGUGUAGCAGUGAAAUGCGUAGAGAUGCGGAGGAACACCGAUGGCGAAGGCAGCCCCCUGGGUCGACACUGACACUCAGGCACGAAAGCGUGGGGAGCAAACAGG